UUGUGGUUCUAGUUCUUCAUUUGACUCUCUCAACUAACUAAGCAUGAGACCUCUUUCCCCUACUUUUGUAUCUUCCUAGAGUUAGGGAGGUUAACGCCAACAUAUACAGUUCACUUAUUAUUCUCCGCAUAUAUUGGGGUCCGUUUGUUAACCUCGUUUUUAUCGCACAUUUCCCCUCGACUGUGUUUGAUCGACUCAAUCGAGCCACGACAAGCUAAGUUCGAGUCAAAUUGAAGUUAAUUAGAAUUUUUAUUCCAAAUUGACUUGGAUCGAGUCGAUUUUGAUUCGACUAAGCUUGAUUGAUUUCGACCAACACAUGUCGAUUGCGUCGUGUCAAAUUUCAUUUUGAUUAAAUAGUGAUUUUUGAAUUCAAUUUCUUGCGAUUAAAUUUAUUGAACUGGCUUGAACUCAAACUGACUCGAAUCGAGUCAAAUUAGGACUCAAGUCUAACUUGGUCUUAGCCAAAUUUGGCUUGAUUCAACUCAAUCUAAUCCUACUAAGAUCCAUUUAACUUUCUAAAUAAUUUGAAUCCAUUUACUAGAUCAGGCGACAAUUUCAACGGUUCGAAUUUCCCCGAAAUUCGAAUUCUGUCGUGGGCGUGAGCCCUCGAACAAGCAGUCGAUUCGAACGACUUUAGGAAGGAGAAAAAGGUCGUAGGGCUAUUUUGUUGUUUCGAGCAAAGCAGAACGUCGAGAGACGUUUAGAAGGCUUGGAGGAAACCUUCGGCUCUCAUUCUCACCGACUCCCUCUCUAUCUCGCGCUCUCGUUCGGAAGCAGCCCAGGUGAAUCCCCAGCUCUCCCACUCGGUUUCGCACAGCCCAGGCGAAUCCGGCCCCCCUUUGUCCUCUCUCGGCUUCGAGAAUACAAGGAGCACCUGACGCCUCCCCCGCUCUCGAUUUCGCGUGCCCGGACCGAGCUCGUCGUCUUGUCCGACGCCAUUCCGGACAAACGACCCGAGCUUUGUCUCCCCUGUCUUGGCCAAGUGAUCUCCUCCAAGGCUGCAGGUAGCUUCUUCAGUUUCUUCUCAUUCUUCUUCUUCUUCUUCUUCCAUACCUUCCAUUUCCUCUUCUUCUUCCUCUUGUUGUUUUCUUCUCAUUUUCAUCUUCUUCUUCUUCUUGUUUGUUCACAACUUUCUUCUUCACCCUUAGUUUCAUUUGCUUCCUUUAAAAAAAAAAAAAUUAAGAACUUAUGGAUUGAUUUAUUGCAAUAUAUUUAUCUGCUCUAAAAAGAUUCAUCAAGAGAAGUCUUCACAUGUUGAAAUUAUUCAAGCAAGCAUGAUAUGUUGUGAUAUGUUUCUGGUAAUGUCCUCCCUUGUUUGUUUGGAGACAUAAUUUUAUUUUUCUAAGGAGCAUAUGAAUCAUCUUCUCUUAGCAUAAAUGUUGUUAUUUUCAAAUGAUUUUGCAUUGUCAUACGAAAGAAAUAGCGAAGAAUGGGGUUUGUUGUUGGAUAUGUUUUUUUUUUUUUUUAAGAACAUGCUUGUGCUUGAAUUUUUUUUUAUAUAUGAAACCCACUAGAAGAUAUGUUGAAUUCAAUGACGAGAUGGUGUUGUUGUUUUUCUUUAAUUAAAUGCAUCUAUGAAGCUUCUUUAUUUGCACGAUUAGGUGAAAGGGUAGAAGCAUGACAUUCACCAUUGAUUACUUGUUUAGCUUUGUUUGUCGCACGGAUGCACACCAGUUAUUUGAUGAAAUGUUUCUUAAGAAAUGUUAUUAUGAAAUUUCUUCUUUGGUUGCUUCGUUGUAGCCUUUUAUGAACGACAAAAGACUAGUUUGUUAGUAAGAGCAUUUGGGGGCUUUUAAUCUCAAAAUGUCUUUAUAUGAAAAGGGUUUAUGCUCUUAUUUUUUUUUAAUAUAUACAUGUUGUGAGAGUUAAACAUCUAUCAUGAGAUUGUCAUGUAUCUUGUCUUGUAUCGUCAAUGUGUAUUUGCUUACUCACUUUAAGAUCUUGACUUCGGAGGGAUUCAAAAUGAGGUUGAUAUGUUUAGCUCAUUUUUUUAUGUAUAACAGAAAAAAAAAAGAGAGAGGUAUCUCAUUUUCUCUUAAAUGUGGAUAAGAAAAUUUCAACUUCUCUCGAUUAUAUGCAACCUUGCAUAUUUCAAUUCACAUGGCGCAUGCUAUCUACUUGAUGAAAUACUUUCCAAAAGGUAAUAUGAUGGCUUUUUUCGUAUUAGAGUUUGAUGUAAAAAAGCAUAAACGUGAGAGUUUCAUCGUAUGCUCCUUGAGUUGCAUUUGUCCUAUAAAUAGUGAUUGGUCGAGAUGGCUUACACAUUUGCAUCAUUUAAUCAUAGUUUAUCUUUGUGAUAAAAGUCUUGUUAUUCUUCACCAAGUGUAGAAUUUUCAUUAUUUUAGCUUUCAAAUUAUUUUGAAAAUGAACCAAGUGCAAAUUUUUCACUGUUUUAGCUUCCAAAUUGUUUUGGAAAUAAAACAAGUGCAGAAUUUUCACUGUUUUAGCUUCCAAAUUGCUUUGGAAAUGAACCAAGUGCGGAAUUUUCACCGUUUUAACUUCCAAAUUAUUUUGAAAAUAAAGUAAGUGUAGAAUUUUCACUGUUUUAGCCUCUAAAUUAUUUUGGGAAGUAAGAUUAGAUUUUUUCACUGUUUUAACCUACAAAUUGUUUUGGAGACAAACCAAGUGCAGAUUUUCAAUUGUUUUAUACUCCGAAUUGAUUUGUAGACAUGUUAGAUGCAAGUUUUCAUUAGUCUUGUGCCCCAAACUGAUUUAGAAAAGAGUUAGAUGCAUAUUUUCACUUGUUUUAUACUUCAAACUAUUUUUGCAAGAUAAACUUUGGAGAAUAAUUAUAUGCUUUCUACUUUUGAGAAGAUUUUUGAGCUCGUUGGAAUUAUUGAGGUGAAUAUUUUUUAAAUAUAUGCGUUGUUCUUGAAGUUAGAAUUAGAUUUAUAUUUCUUUUAUAGUAACACAUCAAAUGCUUGUUUGGCCCUUUUUGAGUUAUGAUUGGUUGGUAGAAUUUUACAUAAGUUUCUAUGAUUGAGUGGUUUUAUUAUUGAAAAUUUUUGCAAAAGUCUUUGAGUUAUUUUGUGUUAGAGGUUUUAUGCAAAAAUUUUAUUAACGUUUUAUAACGAAAAGCUAUUGCGAAGUUUUCUUGUUGGAGAGGUUUUAAAGGUUGUUUACCCCACGCAAAAAAAAUGAGCAAUUGAUUGUUUUCUUUGUGUCGAAACGUGGUUUGGUAGAAUUUUUAUGGAAAACUUUUAUGUAUUAUUUCAUUUGGAGAUUUUCAUGAGUAAAUUUUAGAAUUUGGAGCUUUAUGACGAGUUUUGUGUAGCAAGUUCUUUUUUAUGUCUUUUUGAAACAAAUGAUCUUUCUUAAUUGAAUUGGCUUUCUUUUACUAGUAUUUGUUAUUAAAAGUGGAGUUUUGGAUAGAUGUAGAAUGAAAGUUUAUUUUGAGUUUUUUUUUUUGGAAUUUGUUCCCAUUUGUCACUUUGAGCUUUAUUUAGAUAAUAGUUUAGUUAGUCGUGUUAAAUGUACCAAGUGCUUUCGUUGGAAUGUGGGGAUAAUAAACAGCAGUAAAAACCUCCCUAUUUGUAUCACAUUGAAUUGGAGAAAAAAUUAUUUUAGAGGCACAUUUGGCUUCAAAAAAGUGUGCCCAACAAUAACAAUGCCUACAUUUCUUUUAUUUUUGAUUUUCAUUCUUUUCUUUCUUUUGCAUUUAGUCGUCUCUUACUUUGUUUUUAGUUUUUCUGCCGCUACUUUAUUUAUGCUUUAAGUUUUAAUGCUUGCAAAGUGAGGAAAACCCAAAAGAUAAAUGACUCAAUCGGUAUACAAAAAGGUACGUUCUUGUUUUUAUUGCAUCUUCAUUUCUUUGUAUUCACAUUUUAUAUAAUAAACAAAUGAUAAUACAAAGAAAUGAAGAUGUAAUAAAAACAAGAACGUACAUUUUCGUAUUCCGGUUGAGCCAUUGGUUUUUUUGGUUUUUCUCACUUUGCAAGAAUUAAAACUUAAAGAAUAAAUAAUUGAGCGAUAUAAAAAUUAAAAACAAAGCAAGAGACGACUAAAUGCAAUAGAAAGAAAACAAUGAAAAUCAAAAGUAAAAGAAAUGUAGGCAUUGUUAUUGUUGGACACACUUUUUUGAAGCCAAAUGUGCCUCUAAAACAAUUUUCUCCCCAAUUCAAUGUGAUACAAAUAGAGGAGAAGGUAUUUUUAAUGCUCUUUACUGUCCCCACAUUACAACAAAAGCACUUGAUACAUUUAAAACAAUUAACUAAGCUAUUACCUAAAUAAAGCUCAAAGUGACAAAUUGGAAUAAGUUCCCAAAACCAAAACUCAAAAUAAGCUUUCGUUAUACAUCUAUCAAAACCCCCAUUUUUAGAAGCAAAUACUAGUAAAGAAAGCUAAUUCAAUUAAAAAAUAUCAUUCAUUUUAAAAAAAAAUCAAAGAGAACUUGCUACAUAAAAUUUGCCAUAAAGCUCCAAAUUCCAAAAUUUACUUAUGAAAACUUUCAAAUGAAAUAAUACAUAAAUUUUUUUCAUAAGCAAUCUACCAAAGCACCAACCUUUAAAACAUAUCCAAUAAGAAAACUUCGCAAAAGCUUUUCGUUGUAAAACGUCAAUAAAAAUUUUGUAUAAAGCCUUGCCUCACAAAAUAACUCAAAGCCUUUUGCCAAAUUUUUUAAUAAUAAAACCACUCAAUCAUAGAAACAUAUGUAAAAUUCUCCCAAUCAAUCAUAAUUCAAAAAAAGGACCAAACACCCAUUAAAGAAACAUAAAUCUAUUUCUUACUUCAAGAACAACGCAUAUAUUCAAAGAAUAUUCAUCUCAAUAAUUCCAACGAGCUUAAAAAACUUCUCAAAAAAAGAAAAUAUAUAAAUAUUCUCCAAAGUUUAUCUUGCCGGUUCAAUAAAUUUAAUCGCAUGAAAUUGAAUUCAAAAACCACUAUUUAAUCAAAAUGAAAUUCGACCCGACACAAUCAACAUGUGUUGGUCGAAAUCGAUCGAGCUUAGUCGUAUCAAAUUCGACUCGAUCCAAGUCAAUUUGGAAUAAAAAUUCUAACUAACUUCAAUUUGAUUUGAACUUAGCUCGUCGUGGCUCGAUUGAGUCGAUCAAACACAGACGAGGGGAAAUGCGCGAUAAAAACGAGGUCAACAGAGAAUGACGAGUCAGUAAAGACAACGUGAAAGCUUUUUCUAUGUUUGAUUGUAGGUGGCGUCUUUGGACAUCCCUUUAUUGUUGCUCCAUGCAUGCUCAUUGAUAAUUCAUGUGGAUUUGAAACCAUCCCCCCCAUAUAUAUAUACACAUUUAUGCACAUGCAUACAAACAUACAUGUUUAUGAUAUACUUAUUGCAAUCAAAUUGUGGUGCCAAGGGGAAAGAAGGGACGAUGUCGAUUUCAGUAGGGAAAAAACUGUCUACCUUUUUCUAUUUGCAUUUUUUAGGAUGAUUGUGGGUAAGUACAUUUAAAUUAAAUAAUAAUUAUAUCAGAGGAAUGAUUGGAGUGCCAUCUAUUUAGAUGAGAUUAUUGAAAAAAGAUUUAAGUGCUAUGACCAUGUAUAUUGAAUGGUAGAUAAUGUGGCAAUUAAACAUGUAGAUAAAAUUAGUGUUAAUUUUGAAGGAGUGGGUUUAGACCUAUAAGGUUAAAUGCAAUUGCGAACAUUGAGGAUGGUCUGAAAUAUCUCAGGCAACCGAUGUUAUGAUUUUCCCUAUUUAUUCUUUUGGUGAGAGGACCUUCAGAAAGCGGUUUAUUUAUUUUUUGUUGGAAUUUAUUAGUCGUAUUGCCCUCUAUCUCUUUAUUUCCAUGAAGUACGUUGCAGUAACCAUGGUAACUUGUUGAGCCUUUUUUUCAUUUUGUAUGUAUAUUUGAGAGGUUUGAUGGAGAAGUAUAGAGAUGUUUAGAAUUUUGCCUGAAUAUUGCUAUGUUUCCUAUGGUAUGUCUUUCUGGAUGGCCUGGAGUUUCUCUGGAAACCACAGCUAACAUUGCAAUGGGAAUUCGAGCAUAGUGAAACUUCUCUAAUAGUCCAUGGAUUCAUUUUUAUCUUCUGAGCCUUUUUUCUUUCAUCAUCAUCUUCCUCCUUUUUGGUUCAUGAUUCUUUUGUUUGAGUUUGUUUUGGAGCUAUUAGCGGAAAAGGAAUAUUGUUUGCCUAACUGACGCUUACUCUCCUUACUACCAUAAAAUUUCAAGGGCGCUUUCUCCAUUCUAAUUUUAAUGCAUGUUGGUGGAAUCAAUGUCUGUUGCUGUGAAAAGGGAAAUAAAUUCAUUGAAGAGAGAUACAUAUGAUUCUUAGACAGAAAUACUCUCAGUGGCUUCAUCUUCUCCAUGAAAUAUAAUUACGAAGGCCAUAUCCAUUGGCAGUUAUGAAGAUUAUUGCAAUAUUCAUAAUGGGUAAUAGUGUUGUGAUUAUUUCUUUUUAGAAGUUAAAAAAAUUUGGGGAAGAUUAUGAUGAUGAUAAUGAUUUAGAUUUUUGCUGGGUUGUGUAGUGCUUUUGUGGAGUAUCUCUAUGAUAUAACAUGUAUCGAUGGUCUAAUAUGCACUAUUCAUAAACAACAAAUCUUUAUUGUAUUGAUAGUUUUAUUUAUAUAACAGGGGAUUUUAAGAUGGAUUCCCAUGAAGGCAAGUAACUCCUUUACUUUGGGAAUGUCUUAGUGGUAGUGCUGGUGAUGCCCAAAUAUGCUUUCCUCUAUGCCCUUUGAUUGUUUUGACAAGUUAUUCAGGCGACUGAUCUUCGACAACCCAGGAUUCUUAUACUCAUUUUGCUAUGGCGAACAUCAAGGCUGGCCUGUGUACUUAUAUAUGCUUGUUGUGAGUGGACUUAUAGAAAGCUGCUCUUGUGUCUAUGUUUGAAUGAAGGUCAUAUUGUCCUCUUUUUUCUCUCGUAAAGCACUGUGCAGUAACCAUGAUAGUUUGAGAUGAUCUGCAUAUAUAUAUAUAUAUAUGUGUGUGUGUGUGCGUGCUUGAAAAAAAAAAGAUUAGCAUAUCUUACUGGUAGCCCAAGUGAGGCUCCCCAUUCUUAUUAAUUUCCUUAGAAAUUUAACCCUGAUGGGGGAUAAUAAUUUUCAUUUGCAGAUGGAGGGCGACCAGUAGCCUCAUCUCUGCAAUGAAAUACGAUUAAGAAGGCCUAAUCAUAUGGUAAUUUUCAAGAUUAGUGGUAAUACACAUAGCUUGUGAGCUGUGUUUAUCUGUUUUAUGAGUGAAAAGUUUUUGGGGCAAUGAUGAUGAUUUAGAAUUUAGCCCUCAACUGCACAUGGCGGCUAUGAAAUUUUCCU
This is a long non-coding RNA of Dendrobium catenatum, 7204 nucleotides long. RefSeq lists it as uncharacterized. Lineage: Eukaryota; Viridiplantae; Streptophyta; Magnoliopsida; Asparagales; Orchidaceae. The record is from RefSeq and is a predicted model, not a curated record. The transcript is spliced from 2 exons.